RNAcentral lists this transfer RNA (72 nucleotides) under Macropinna microstoma (barreleye). RNAcentral's name for it is "tRNA-Ile". It matches the Rfam family "tRNA". Rfam says of the family: Transfer RNA (tRNA) molecules are approximately 80 nucleotides in length. Their secondary structure includes four short double-helical elements and three loops (D, anti-codon, and T loops). Lineage: Eukaryota; Metazoa; Chordata; Actinopteri; Argentiniformes; Opisthoproctidae. The record is from RNAcentral.
GGAAUUAUGCCCGAAUGCCCAAGGACCACUUUGAUAGAGUGACAGACGGGGGUUCAAAUCCCCCUAAUUCCU